UGUUCUUAUUUAGAUCUUUCUUAUACAAGGUAGCCUCUCCCUGAAUGCCCCAAACGGGCUCCAAAAUAGUGUACUGAACAUAAUCAACACUGGUGAUAAGGAUUCCAAUGUCUUUACAAAUGUAGGUGUGAGGACAAAGGUUUUGGCUGACAUGUUUCCCGAUAUUUUCAGAGACUAUUUUCCCUAAUACCUUUUUUUAAUUGAAGUAUAGUUGACAGACACUGUUACACUAAUUUCAGUAUACAAAUUCAGAUUGGACAAUUGUAGACACUAUGCUAUGCUCACUACCAUACGUGUAGUUACCCUCUGUCACCAUACAACAUUAAUACAAUAUUAUUGAGGAUAUUUCAUAUGCUGUAUUCUUCAUUCCUGUGACUUACCUAUUUUAUAACUGGAAUUUGUACCUCUUCCUCCUCUUCACCUAUUUUGUCCUUACCCUCUACCCACCUCCCCCCUACCAACCACCAAUGUGUCCUCUGUAGUUAUGAUUCUGUUUGUUGACUUGUUUAAUUUUUUUUAUAUUCCACAUGUAAGUGAAAUCAGAUGGUAUUUAUUUGUCUUUCUCCGAUUUAUUUCACCUAGCAUAAUACCCUCUAGGUCUAUCAAUGUUGUCACAAAUGGCAAGAUCUCAUUCUUUUUGAUGGCUGAGGUAUAUUUCAUUGUAUACAUAUUACACAUCUUCUUUAUCCAUUCAUCUAUCGAUGGACACUUAGGUUGCUUCCAUAUUUUGGUUAUUGCAAACAAUGUCUCAAUAAACAUAGGGAUGCACACAGCUUUUCAAAUUAGUGUUUUCAUUUUCUUUGGGUAAAUACGCAGUAGUGGAAUUAAUGAAUAUCUAUUUUUAAGUUUUUGAGGAACCAUAACACUUUUUUGACAAUACCAUUAUAUUCUGGCAGUAUAAAAUGAAUGGGACAACUUUACUAUACCAGACUUAUAAAAUUAAUAACUCAAUACCAGAUGAUGGGGGAAGGCUUUAUUCAAACAACUUUAUAUUACCAUUAAUAAAUACGAUAUAAAAUAUAAACCACGUUUUUUACAUGACAUGACUUAAGGAACUACCAAGGUAAUGUUGCAUCUUUUCCCCAAAAGCUCUUUUCCUAAAUAUUUACCUCUGUGACCUUUAUAUGUUUAUUUCUAGGUAAAAACUGUGUUUCGAUGGUGAAAAUAGCUUUCAAGUCCAUGAAUAAGGACACAUGUGUACUUUUAUGUAUACCUUUCCAUUUAUCAGAAAUAUAAGAGGGUGAGAAAAUUAUACACAGAAAAACUAUAUAUCAGCAAAUUUUAAUUCAAAGAACAUUUUUAAAGAAUUUUUAAUUAGAAGGAUUUUCUCAUUACUGUUAGCAUUCAAAUAUGGCCCAUAGAAAUCUAAGGUUCGGUUGAAGACACUGCAGGAUUGAGGGACAAGGAAGUCACAGCCAUAGUCUCCAUCUCUCCUUUAGUUAGACAGCUCUACUUCUCUCUGUUUUACACAAUACAGUUUAAUGCAAAAAAAAAUUACGUUCUAUUCUUUGAAAACAAAAUUAUUUUGAAGGUAUAAAAGUCACUAAUUUAGUCAAAAUCCCGAAUUUUGCGUAAUAGACAAAAAGGGCUCAGAGAGAGUGUACUUUGCCUGAGGUCAUGAAACCAACUAGAUGCAGACCAGGAAUACACUUCUGGUCUUACCAAGCCUAGAGUUCUAUGCCAGUUACUUCCUCAUAGUCAGAAAAAUAUGUAUAUUUUAAGUAUAACUCAGAGAAAAUGAAUACAUAAAACUUUGUCAUGUGGCUCAAUAAUGUUUAGGUAUGAGGCACACAAUGGUAGCUCUCUAACUAAAUUACAAAUUUUAAAGUCAUGAAUAAAAAUAAAGGAACAGAAAUUAUGUUAACUCCUUUUAGUAGCAGUCAGUUUUUAAGCACAACGUUUUUAAACCACAGGACAGAGAACUUGAGAGAGAGAAGCUUUAGGUGAAGCAAGCAAGCUGAAACUGAGGAAAUUCUUCCUGAAAGAAUGAUUUAUUUCUUUCCAAGAAAAUUUGGUUUAUCAAAAUCAAUCAACAAAUGAGGGAACCCAUGGUGUGGUCAUUUACAGCAAUAUUUAAAACCCAACAGAUUUCUCUUUCCCAUCUAGCAUGCUUCUGUCUAACCUCUCAUCAUUAGUUGGAAGGGAGACUUACCUAACGGGUGAAUUUGGGAGAAGGAGCUAAGCAGUGCUUAUGUGUUUCUGAAUCUCCUCUUUGAAAAGAUGUGCCUGCCCACAGUAACAUGAAUUUGUGUCUGCUCUCAGCUCUGCGAAAGAGAAGAGCAGUGUUACUUGCAGCCUACCCAGUGUCACCUGUCACAGCUCCACCAAGAAAAAUGACUAGACAACACUUACAGAAACAUUCUCUUCUUCAUUGACUUCAUAACUAAUGUACAUUGUUCAAAAGCAACGCCCACUCAAAAGAGAGAAAAAGUUGAAAGAAACCAUUUUAGAAACAAACAUAGAAAGUCAGACAAACUGAGGACACAGAGGAAUACCUUCCAAAUGAAAGAACAUGACAAAACCUAAGAAAAAAAAAACUAACAAAACUAAGAAAAAAAACUAAGAAAAAAAAACAGAGAUAAGUGAUGUACCUCAUAAAGAGUUCAAGGUAAAGGUCAUAAAGAUGCUCAGUGAACUUGGGAGGAGAAUGAAUGGAUCCAGUGAUAACAUCAACAAAGAGAUAGAAAAUAUAAAAAAGAACCAAUCAGAGCUGAAGGAUACAAUAAGAGAAAUGACAAAUACACUAGAGGGAAUCAACAGCAGGUACAAAGAUGCAGAAGAACAGAUCAACAAUUUGCAAGACAGGGUAGUAGAAAUCAUCCAAGAUGAAAAACAAAAAGAAAAAAGAACUUUAAAAAUGAGACUAGGUUAAGGGACCUGUGGGACAACAUCCAGUGUAAUAAUACUUGCAUUCAAGGGGUUCCAGAAAAAGAAAAGAGAAAGGGGCAAAGAACUCAUUUGAAGAAAUAAAAGCUUCAUUUUAAAAAUUCAAA
Molecule: long non-coding RNA, 2993 nt
Organism: Neofelis nebulosa (Clouded leopard)
Lineage: Eukaryota; Metazoa; Chordata; Mammalia; Carnivora; Felidae
Exons: 3
Source: RefSeq, a predicted model, not a curated record